This is a non-coding RNA of Nicotiana tabacum (common tobacco), 203 nucleotides long. The record is from RefSeq and is a predicted model, not a curated record. Lineage: Eukaryota; Viridiplantae; Streptophyta; Magnoliopsida; Solanales; Solanaceae.
UCAACUUCAGUCAGUAUCCAAAAGGCCCAUAAAUACUUCAUAUUUAGUGAUGGCGACCAAACGGUCUAUUGUUUAGGGUUUUAGAGAAACCCUGCAGCUCCAGUUCUCCUUUUGCAAUGGCGUUUUGGGGAGUUGAAUUGAAGCCUGGUAAACCAUUCACUCAUAACUUUGAAAGAGAGCGUGGAAGACUUCAUGUAUCUCAG